RNAcentral lists this ribosomal RNA (492 nucleotides) under uncultured bacterium. Its description in RNAcentral is "partial 16S ribosomal RNA". It matches the Rfam family "Bacterial small subunit ribosomal RNA", at positions 29 to 507 of the family's 1533-position model. The record is from RNAcentral.
AGUGAACGCUGGCGGCAGGCCUAACACAUGCAAGUCGAACGGCAGCACAGUAAGAGCUUGCUCUUACGGGUGGCGAGUGGCGGACGGGUGAGGAAUACAUCGGAAUCUACUUUUUCGUGGGGGACAACGUAGGGAAACUUACGCUAAUACCGCAUACGAUCAACGGGUGAAAGCAGAGGAUCUUGGGACCUUGCGCGAUUGAAUGAGCCGAUGUCGGAUUAGCUAGUUGGCGGGGUAAAGGCCCACCAAGGCGACGAUCCGUAGCUGGUCUGAGAGGAUGAUCAGCCACACUGGAACUGAGACACGGUCCAGACUCCUACGGGAGGCAGCAGUGGGGAAUAUUGGACAAUGGGCGAAAGCCUGAUCCAGCCAUGCCGCGUGGGUGAAGAAGGCCUUCGGGUUGUAAAGCCCUUUUGUUGGGAAAGAAAAGCAGCAGGUUAAUACCCCGCUGUUCUGACGGUACCCAAAGAAUAAGCACCGGCUAACUACGUG